CCAAUAGCGUAUAUUAAAGUUGUUGCAGUUAAAAAGCUCGUAGUUGAAUUUCGGGGUUAGUAGGUUGGUCAUGCCUCUGGUAUGUACUGGUCUCACUGAUUCCUCCUUCCUGAUGAGCCGUAAUGCCAUUAAUUUGGUGUUGCGGGGAAUUUGGACUGUUACUUUGAAAAAAUUAGAGUGUUUAAAGCAAGCUAACGCUUGAAUACAUUAGCAUGGGAUAAUGAAAUAGGACGUUCGAUCCUAUUUUGUUGGUUUCUAGGAUUGACGUAAUGAUUAAUAGGGAUAGUUGGGGGCAUUAGUAUUCAAUUGUCAGAGGUGAAAUUCUUGGAUUUAUUGAAGACUAACUACUGCGAAAGCAUUUGCCAAGGAUGUUUUCAUUAAUCAAGAACGAAAGUUAGGGGAUCGAAGACGAUCAGAUACCGUCGUAGUCUUAACCAUAAACUAUGCCGACUAGGGAUCGGAUGAUGUUAAUUUUUUAAUGACUCAUUCGGCGCCUUACG
Molecule: ribosomal RNA, 500 nt
Filed under: uncultured Glomeromycotina
Lineage: Eukaryota; Fungi; Glomeromycota
Description: partial small subunit ribosomal RNA
Rfam family: Eukaryotic small subunit ribosomal RNA
Source: RNAcentral